AGUUUACAAAGUAGAUGUCAUUGUGGUUGACUUUCUGGUUUGUGAAACUGUAUUUAAUGCAGAAACCGUUGUGGAGUUGUGUGAGGAUUGGUGGCUAAGAAUUAUUUCAUGAUUUCCUUUGAAGGUACGAGUGAGGCCAAAGAUAAUGGCUAAUGAAGAAACUGAGGGCUCCUAAGGGCAAGGGAGAAAUUAAGGUGAUUAUGGAGUCAGCGGCUGCAUUUUGAGUAAGAAAUCACUGCAGGUCAAUUUCCUCAAUCUCUGAAAGCCCUGUCUGGUGGUGGCUUUAUAUGAAAGAAGCCAGAUGAAUUCAAGAGAAUGUGAUUAUCCAGGAAGUUGGCUAAAAUGGAAUCAAGUAAGAAUUAUUUUUAUGCUUUACCAUCGUCUCUAUUAAAAAUAAUACAAAUAGCCAAGGCUCUCCCAGAGCCUAGCGUUUGGAGAGUCAUAGAACAUUCUGUGGUUUUGCUUCGAUGUCUUGCACUUUGCUUGUUUUAGAUUGAAAUACAGGUAAAAUUUUUGACACCCCAAGCCAAAUUUCUGAUGCUAUUGUUCCAUGAGUGGGACAGGAAGACUGAGAUAAAAGUAUAGCUCGUUCUUUUCAUAUCUAAGGCAUAAGACCCAUUUUUAGUGUGAAGGAUAAAACUAGGAACCCUUCUGGCUACUAGACAUCAUGGGGCUUCAUUUUUAUUUCACUCCUUUGGCUUAUGGAAAGAAAAGAAAAGUAGAAAAAAAAAAGAAGCACCAAAUAAUAUACUUAUAUUUCCUUUUUGAUUUUCUGCUUUGGGGAAAAAGGAUGAGGGUAUUAAACUCGUAUUUGGACUGUAGAUUUUUCUAUUUUUCAUAUAAAACUAUCCUAACUUAUUUUGGGGUAAUAAAGUGAAUAAGGUUAGGAUAAAAAGUGGAAAGUAUUUUCCAAUCAUACAAUUUUCUUUUAAAACAAAGACAACCCUGUGUGGGAUGUGGAGUCCUCUCUGCAUGAUCAGAAACCCAACUAUUGAACAGGAAAUAAUUUGAAGAGAUGAAAAUGUUCUUGCCGGGCACAGUGGUGCGUGCCUGUAAUCCCAGUGGCUUGGGAGGUUAAGAUAGGAGGAUCGCAAGUUCAAAGCCCGCCUCAGCAAUGGCAAGGUGCUAAGCAACUCAAUGAGAUCCUGGGUCUAAAUAAAAUACAAAAUAGGGCUGGGGAUGUGGCUCAGUGGCCAAGUGCCCCUGAGUUCAAUCCCUGGUAUCCCCCCACCAAAUAAAAGAAAAAGAAAAUAAAAUAUUCUUAUUACCUAGAAUUGUACUUCUUGCUCCCUCUCUAUCAGAGAAACUAUGCUUGCUCAAUUCUAUUUUUUUUAGUAGGGGGAGAUUGAACUAAGGGGUGCUUUAUCACUGGGCCACAUCCAUGGUACUUCUUAUUUUGAGACAGAGUCUGGCUAAGUUACCUAGCGCUCCCCUGAAUUGCUGAGGCUGGCUUUGAACUUAGGAUCCUCUUGCCUUUGCUCCAUUCUAAAGCAAAGCCUGUGAGUCUUUCAGAUAGAAAUUAGAGAUGAAAGAGAAAGCCAUUAGAGUCAAACCUGUUACUGGGUAUAAUGUGGAUCAAGCCAUUGUUUAGAUAAGCCCCAAAGGAGAUAGACCAUUUAAUUCAACAGCUUUUCUAGGAAAAGGACUCCGUUGAUCUAUGUUUAACUAUGCUAAACCAGUCGUGGACAAUUCAGACCAUAAACAUUGAGUUGAACUAAAGGAUAGUUAACUGCUGUUUUAAUUUUAAAGGAAAUUGCAAAGGUUCGUGGUAUAUUUUUAUGGAUACCUCAUGCACAAUUACAGCAGGCGUGACUGGCCAGGGUGGAUUAUAUUUUACACAUAAUUAGUCCAGGCACAUCCUUGGGCCUCUGAGAAGAGGUCAAUGUGGCUGGUUCUGUAGACACUCCCAGUGUUUUGGGUACACUCAUUUAAAAAAGGGAUAGGUAUUUGCCUUAUAUUUUUUUUCUAGGAGUAAAGUAGUUUUUGCAAUAAUAUUGAGUAAAUAAAUAGGUAUCUUCCAAAGCUAUAUGUUAUCUUAAGCAAUUUAUGUCCUUAUUGAUUUUUUUUCCUGUAAUAAGAAAGUUAAUGCUUGAAAUUGUAUGUAGUUGCUAUAGAAACACACAAAAGUCUAUUUCUCUUGAAGAGGAAGCAUACGAUUAAUCUGUUUUUUAACCUAGUUUAUUAUGAGAAUGUCUGCAGAAUGUAAUAACAGAGAUCUGUAGUCCUAAUAAUUUUUAUCUCUGUUUUUUUAUGGCAACUGUCUAAAUAAUCUUUUCAGAUUUUUUUUAAAAAAUGCUAAUUAGUAGAAUUGUUUUGAAAUUGAGAAAAAAAAUAAGUGUAUCAUCUAUAAAAUAUGCUUCUAAAAUACUCAGCAUCCUUUGUAUUAUUUUACAUUUUAUGGAGUUCAUUAACGUUCCAUCCAAACACAUUUUAAAUAUAUGAGUCUUUUAUUACUUUUACAUAAUGCUUUUAUUUAAAAUGAAAAUAAGUUUAACUUAAGGUGGCAAAUGUACCAUUGCUCCAGAAUAUAUUAGCAUAUUUUAUUUUUAUAUCAUGUAAUAUUCAGCUUGAAUUUGCAUGUGCAUGUGUCUCUAUUUCUGUUAAUAUGUAGAUUUCUUUCAUAUAAGCUGCUCUGAGAGUCUUCAUCAAUUAAUACUAAGUGGCUUUUUAAUGUCCCUGAUCAGUGGAUAUUAAUCUAAAUUUCCAAACCAGGGUCACAAAACCAAACAGCUGUAGGAGUCAGCCAGCCACUGGAAACCGGUGAAAACUGCCAGCUAGAAGAUGGUGAAGAGGAAUCUCUAAGGUGAGGCUUCUGCCCUUUGCAAGCCCCAUGUGAUUGUUCCCAGGUGAGUACUGAAGUGCACAAUGCUUAUCCAAUCUUUUCUUGAUUCCUAAAAGAGAAUCCAGAAUUCUGAGCGCUGAUGUGAAAUAUAUCAGCAUAUAAAUCCAGAAAACCAAAGUACUGUAAUUUUUAAAGAAUAACCACAAAAGGUCAAAAUCAUCUGCAGUUUUCAUGUGGUUCACUGCCGUCAUGUUGUAUAGCUUACUUACCUCCAGAGGAAAUGACAGCCUUGGGAACAGAACAUCAUGAGAUGUUGUUGCUUGUUGGUCCAACUAGACAGUACUGGAAUUUACAUUUUAUUAUUUUUUUUUUUCUUUUACGGAUGCAGAAAGUAAUAUUUGACUGACUGGCUGAAAUUCACACCAUAUAUCAUUAGUCUUAAAAGAAUGAAUCCCCUCUUGCUAUUUUAAAGUGAAUUAUGAUCUUGGAUCUAGUGAUUAAAAUUGUAUGUUGAGAUGAAUGGAAGCCCAGGAGGGGAAGAAUCAUUGAAGAAUAAUAAAGUGGUUUGGAUUUGGGCUCUAGGGGUUGCUGACUGAAUUAUGCAGAGGAACUUUGGCAGUUGGGCUGUGUAGAGAGUUGGGGCAGAAAGUGAUUAUCAGGGAACAAGUUGAGUGCAGAAAGGUUGAGAUAUGGCUGGAGGAAGAAAAAUAGGGUGGGAGAAGAAUUGAUUAACAAGGGCAUGGGAUUUUGCUAUUGUGAAUUGAAAGUAACUUCCUUUCUGACUUCUAAUUAUACUUUCAAUAAAAACCCACAUUUUUUAUGCAAUACUUUCAGUAAUGGGUAUGUGUGGGUAACUGUUUGUUUAUUGAAUAUCAUUGCUGUUUGCUAUUAAAUACAUAUUAGAACAUCUUCCUUAUGGCCUCUUGGAAAAAAACCAGGCAGCCGGAACAUGACCAGUCAUGUCACAGCCAGCUUGGAUUAUAUUGAUGUCAUGGAAUCCUUAUGAUUCGCUUGUUUUAUUAAAUGAAACACAAUUUAGGAAGCAAAUCAUUUUGAAAUGAGAAGUCAAUGAGAAGCAAUUUGAGAGGUUUUGUGGGCAGUUGGGUAUAGAGGAGGGAGGGAAAGAAAAGCAAACAGGGAGUGGUGGAGUAUACCAUGGGGCCCAGUCCAGGGAGGCCCCAAGCCCGCAGUCCUGGGUGGAGGUGGCAUCCGCUACUAGUACAUCUUUUUUGCUUCCGUUUCAUGAUUUUUGAAAUACACAUUCCUUUCAGCCUGCCUGAUAAUACAGUCAUGAAACAUGAUUGGCGGAAUCCCAGCCUUUACAAGGGAGGCUGUACUCCAUCCACCUCCCUUCACUACGUGGCCAAGAAGACCACCUGUGUCUCAGCUACAGAUGGGGGGUGGGCUGGUGGUAGUGAUGGAUCAGUGGAGCCAAGGAUUGGGCUGCCCCGGAUCAUUAAGGGCUAGAGCAAAGCCAUUGUUAAAGGUGAUAUUUUAAAGUAGCCUCCGUGGCAUUUUAGGAAACAUAAUAAAUUUGGACUUGUAGUCUCGGAUUUGACAGGAAACACUGUGAUUAUUAUUGUUUUAAGUAUCUGUGUAUCACAGAGCAAGUCACAUCGAUUUUUCUUUUUCUUUUUUUUUUCAAAUGGCUAUUAUUUUAUUUCCCAUAUAUUUAUUUUGAUAAAUUAUAUGUGUACAUAAUGGUGGAAUUUGCUGUUCUGUGUUGGUCCAUGGACACAAUGUAACAAUGUAAUUUGGCCAGGAUCAUUCCCCAGUAUUAUCACUUUUCCUUUCCUCCUCCCGACCCCUGGUCCCUUUCCUCUCCUCUGCUUAUCUCCCUUUGAUUUUCAUGAGAUUCCACCCCCUCAACACUUUUCUGUUUUUCCUCUCUAGCUUCCAAAUAUGAGAUAAAACAUGACCCUUGGCCUUCUGACUUUGGCUUAUUUCUCUUAACACAAAGCUCUCAAGUUUCACCCAGUUUCCUGCAAAUGCCAUCAUUUCAUUCUUCUUUGUGACUGAAUAAAACUCCAUGGUGGAUAUAGUCCAUGUUUUCUUUAUCCGUCCAUCUGUUCAUGGACACUUAAGCUGGUUCUGUAGUGUGGCUACAGAAAAUGGGUGCAUAUAAAGGAAAGCAUUAAAAUCACAUCACUUCUCAUGCUCAAUCCUAGGGCUGCAAACACCCCAAUAUACUGUUUUUCUGGCCCCAGAUAAAGAAUUUGGAAGAUUCACUAGAGAGGUUUUGGACAUUUGAUUAAUUACUGGGAUUCAGUGGAGGAAGGCCUAUGCCUAAGAGUAGGGGGUGUAUAUGGGGUGGGUGGCAUGCCCACUACACAGGUGAAUUUAUGAGUACAUUCUUUAAUUCACAACCAAGGCCACCCUUCUUAGAUUCUUACCUAGAGAUUGGAAACAGGGGAAGGGCCAUCUGCCCUCUCCAUCCUUAUCACAUCUGAAUCUCACUGCAAGCCUUCCUAGGCACUGACUAGAGUUUAACCCCACAAGAGUUCUUUCCCCAUAAGUGUACAUCAUAGUUUUCUUGUAUUUUUAAAGCAUGAUCUUUUUUUUUCUUUAAUAAAAAUAAAAGCAUGUGAUGAUUAAGAAAGACUUUGAUAUAUGAUCUGAAAAUAUUUUGUUAGAAUGAGCACUACAAAGAAUAAUGUCACCUUUCAGCAUUUUAAGGAAUUUUUACUAGAGAAUGUAAAGAUCUAGUAAAAAUUUAGUUCACAAUAAAAAUAAUAAUCCACAAUAAGUAUGUUUCCAUGAAGAUAAUACAAUUAUCAAAGGAACCAAAUGAAGUAAAGCAAAUUCUAAAAUAGUUAAUAUUAAUAACUUCUAUUAUUAAUAUUUAUUAAUAAUAAUAAUAAUUAUUAUUAUUUUUUAAAGAGGGAGAGGGAGAGAGAGAGAGAGAGAGAAUUUUUAAAUAUUUAUUUAUUUUUUAGUUAUCGGCAGACACAACAUCUUUGUUGGUAUGUGGUGCUGAGGAUCGAACCCGGGCUGCACGCAUGCCAGAUGAGCGCGCUACUGCUUGAGCCACAUCCCCAGCCCAAUAAUUAUUAUUAAUAAUAAAAUAGUUAAUGAUCUUUAACAAAUUGUAUGAGAUAUAUACAUAUACAUAUAUGAACUAUGUCUAUAUAUAUAUAUAUAUAUAUAUAUAUAUAUAUAAUCUAAAUAUGCAUCCUUCGAACAAAAUACUUGAUAACUUUUAAGAACAAAAUUAAAUUUGAAACAAACUAAGUGUGGGCUUUGGAAAAGUAAAUCAAGAAUUUGCAAAAAUGGUACACAGAUUCCCCAUAUAUCCUUCACUCGGCUUCUUCAAAUCUUAUCCUACAUAGAGAACCAUUUAUCAAAAGCAGGAAAUUAAUAUUGAUUUGAUUCUAGGAAUUAAUUUUCAAAUCUUACUUGAUUUUCUCCAUUGUUCCAUUAAUUUAUUUUUUCUUGUCUGGGAUUCAUUCAAGGAUCUUAUAUUGCCAAAGAUUUCGAGUUUCCUUCGUCACCACUGAUACCGGACAAUUAUCCUUCUUUCUUUGUUCCUUUUCCUUUUCAGAACAUCAGCCAGUUGAAGUGUAUUUUCCCCCAUUUGUUGGUGGCUGAGGUUUGCUGGCAUUCAGCUGAGGUUCUACUGGCCCAGAGGCUGCAGUAUCCCUCCCGAUGUUUCCUAGGAGCAAGUUCAUUAAGUCAGUAUACCUCAUUACUGCUAUUUUAAUUUUGGUCUCUUGGUCAAGGUCACUUGGAUUAAUAACCAGAUAAAAUUAAUGAUAAAGCCUGUUUCAGCCUUCUUUUAAAAAUAUUUUUAGGGUCAGAGAAGGUAGUGGGGAGGGUGGAGACAACCUGUCACAACGAAACCCACUAAUUUGUACAAUCAGUAGGUGCC
This 6650-nucleotide long non-coding RNA is filed under the name Marmota monax (woodchuck). Lineage: Eukaryota; Metazoa; Chordata; Mammalia; Rodentia; Sciuridae. The record is from RNAcentral.